GACGAACGCUGGCGGCGUGCUUAACACAUGCAAGUCGAACGGAAAGGCCCUGCUUUUGGGGGGUGCGCGAGUGGCGAACGGGUGAGUAACACGUGAGUAACCUGCCCUUGACUUUGGGAUAACUUCAGGAAACUGGGGCUAAUACCGGAUAGGAGCUCCUGCUGCAUGGUGGGGGUGGGAAAGUUUCGGCGGUUGGGGAGGGACUCGCGGCUUAUCAGCUUGUUGGUGGGGUAGUGGCUUACCAAGGCUUUGACGGGUAGCAGGCCUGAGCGGGUGACCGGCCACAUUGGGACUGGGAUACGGCCCAGCCUCCUACGGGAGGCAGCAGUGGGGAAGAUUGCACAAUGGGCGGAAGCCUGAUGCAGCAACGCCGCGUGCGGGAUGACGGCAUUCGGGUUGUAAACCGCUUUCGCCUGUGACGAAGCGUGAGUGACGGUAAUGGGUAAAGAAGCACCGGCUAACUACGUG
RNAcentral lists this ribosomal RNA (468 nucleotides) under uncultured bacterium. Its description in RNAcentral is "partial 16S ribosomal RNA". It matches the Rfam family "Bacterial small subunit ribosomal RNA", at positions 28 to 507 of the family's 1533-position model. The record is from RNAcentral.